CCCCUAGAUGUUCUGGGCCGCACGCGCGCUACACUGAACAGUUCAACAAGUCUUAACCUUGGCCGAUAGGUCUGGGUAAUCUUUGAACGCUGUUCGUGAUUGGGAUAGACCUUUGCAAUUAUGGGUCUUCAACGGGGAAUUCCUAGUAAACGCAAGUCAUCAGCUUGCAUUGAUUACGUCCCUGCCCUUUGUACACACCGCCCGUCGCACCUACCGAUUGAAUGGUCCGGUGAAAUCUCGGGACGGCGGCUUGGUCGCUUGCGUCCGACUGCUGAAACUUGAUUAAACCAUAUCAUUUAGAGGAAGGUGAAGUCGUAACA
RNAcentral lists this ribosomal RNA (320 nucleotides) under uncultured eukaryote. RNAcentral describes it as "partial 18S ribosomal RNA". It matches the Rfam family "Eukaryotic small subunit ribosomal RNA", at positions 1470 to 1796 of the family's 1831-position model. The record is from RNAcentral.